ACUCCUACGGGAGGCAGCAGUGGGAAUAUUGCACAAUGGGCGCAAGCCUGAUGCAGCCAUGCCGCGUGUAUGAAGAAGGCCUUCGGGUUGUAAAGUACUUUCAGCAGUGAGGAAGGUAGUGUAGUUAAUAGCUGCAUUAUUUGACGUUAGCUGCAGAAGAAGCACCGGCUAACUCCGUGCCAGCAGCCGCGGUAAUACGGAGGGUGCGAGCGUUAAUCGGAAUUACUGGGCGUAAAGCGCGCGUAGGCGGCUUGAUAAGCCGGUUGUGAAAGCCCGGCUGCAACCUGGGAACGGCAUCCGGAACUGUCAGGCUAGAGUGCAGGAGAGGAAGGUAGAAUUCCCGGUGUAGCGGUGAAAUGCGUAGAGAUCGGGAGGAAUACCAGUGGCGAAGGCGGCCUUCUGGACUGACACUGACGCUGAGGUGCGAAAGCGUGGGUAGCAAACAGGAUUAGAUACCCUGGUAGGCUCUG
Molecule: ribosomal RNA, 470 nt
Filed under: uncultured bacterium
Lineage: Bacteria
Description: bacterial SSU rRNA
Rfam family: Bacterial small subunit ribosomal RNA
Source: RNAcentral